RNAcentral lists this ribosomal RNA (375 nucleotides) under uncultured bacterium. RNAcentral describes it as "bacterial SSU rRNA". It matches the Rfam family "Bacterial small subunit ribosomal RNA", at positions 524 to 898 of the family's 1533-position model. The record is from RNAcentral.
UACGUAGGUGGCGAGCGUUGUCCGGAUUUACUGGGUGUAAAGGGCGUGUAGGCGGGAUUGUAAGUCAGAUGUGAAAUUCCGAAGCUUAACUUCGGACCUGCAUCUGAAACUAUGAUUCUUGAGUGCUGGAGAGGAAAGCGGAAUUCCUAGUGUAGCGGUGAAAUGCGUAGAUAUUAGGAGGAACACCAGUGGCGAAGGCGGCUUUCUGGACAGUAACUGACGCUGAGGCGCGAAAGCGUGGGGAGCAAACAGGAUAGAUACCCUGGUAGUCCACGCUGUAAACGAUGGAUACUAGGUGUAGGGGGUAUCGACCCCUUCUGUGCCGCAGUUAACACAAUAAGUAUCCCACCUGGGGAGUACGGCCGCAAGGUUGAA